AUACGAAGGGUGCAAGCGUUGUCCGGAUUUAUUGGGUUUAAAGGGUGCGUAGGUGGUUUUUUAAGUCAGUGGUGAAAGCCUACAGCUUAACUGUAGAGGUGCCAUUGAUACUGGGGAACUUGAGUAUGGACGAGGUAGGCGGAAUUUGUGGUGUAGCGGUGAAAUGCAUAGAUACCACAAGGAACACCGAUAGCGAAGGCAGCUUACUGGGCCAUAACUGACACUGAGGCACGAAAGCGUGGGGAGCGAACAGGAUUAGAAACCCUUGUAGUCC
RNAcentral lists this ribosomal RNA (274 nucleotides) under uncultured bacterium. RNAcentral describes it as "partial 16S ribosomal RNA". It matches the Rfam family "Bacterial small subunit ribosomal RNA", at positions 523 to 796 of the family's 1533-position model. The record is from RNAcentral.